Molecule: long non-coding RNA, 450 nt
Filed under: Salvia miltiorrhiza (redroot sage)
Lineage: Eukaryota; Viridiplantae; Streptophyta; Magnoliopsida; Lamiales; Lamiaceae
Description: long non-coding RNA (SMIL_LNC001607)
Source: RNAcentral
UAAACCAUUAGAUAUGCCAAAUCCAAAGGCUAAGAUUGAUUCUCUAUUCUUAAAAUACUCGCGACUGAUCCAUUCUCUAUAUAUAUAUUGAUCGUAAAUGUCAAAUGCACAAAUUAAAAUUGGUAAUUAUAACCGCUAAACCUUCCAAUGAGAUUAAAACAUCUUCAAAAAAGAGAUUCAACAGAGAGAGAGUAAAAAUAAAAAACAAUUGCCGCCAACUCUCUCUAAAAAGUAAAAACAAAAAGAAAAAAAAAACAUUAAUCUUCAUCAACCACUGCUGCUUCCAUGCGUUCUCGAUAUUUUUUUUCUUUCUUGCUUGCAUGUCCAAAAACGCAGCGGGCUGGCCCAAUCCCUCCACAUACCUAAGUAAUGAAACUAAAUCCUGCUUUUUUACCAUAUCUUUAGGGGUGAUUCUUUCAUAGGCCCCAUUUUAUUUCAGCCCCUUUUUAA